Molecule: transfer RNA, 83 nt
Filed under: uncultured Nocardioidaceae bacterium
Lineage: Bacteria; Bacillati; Actinomycetota; Actinomycetes; Propionibacteriales; Nocardioidaceae
Description: tRNA-Leu-CAG
Rfam family: tRNA
About the family: Transfer RNA (tRNA) molecules are approximately 80 nucleotides in length. Their secondary structure includes four short double-helical elements and three loops (D, anti-codon, and T loops).
Source: RNAcentral
GCCCCGAUGGCGGAACAGGAAGACGCGCCGGUCUCAGACACCGGUCGCCGACGGCGGUGGGGGUUCGACUCCCUCUCGGGGCA